Molecule: long non-coding RNA, 1432 nt
Organism: Corvus hawaiiensis (hawaiian crow)
Lineage: Eukaryota; Metazoa; Chordata; Aves; Passeriformes; Corvidae
Exons: 2
Source: RefSeq, a predicted model, not a curated record
CAAUGCCAGCUCCCACACACCCACCACAGGACACUGCUGGACCCUUCAGCCUGGUGGUGCCUUGGGGAAAACAUAUUUAAGAAGGAAAAAAGGAUGCGUAGCAGAGGAAAAUAAUACUGUGGACACCAAGCUCAGAGAAGUUGGAAAGAAGAUGCUCCAGGACCUGAAGCAGGUAUUUCCAUGUAGCCCAUGGAAAAGACCACAGCACAGCAGGUAAUUGUACCCAUCUGUUUCAUCAGAUAAGAGAAAUAAAUGGAAAGCAAGCCUGGAACAGAAGAGACGAUAUACAAGGCAACCCUCAAGAAGGUCCCACACAAACUUUCUCACUUGUCAGCAGCAGGGGGAUAGAAGUCAGCUGGACUGUAAGGCAUCAUGGUAACUGACUCUGUAAUGACCUUUUCCAUUGAUCAGACUGCUCUCCUUCUCCAUAGCACCAAAGGAACUACUGCUGCUCCCUGGACAGUACUGAGAAUCACCCAGGUCACUUUUUCUGUGCAUUUUUAUUUACUUCUUCUUUCUUCUCUUGGGAAUGACUGGGAUAAGAACAAAUACUGUGUUUUGACACUUCCACAACCUCAUACACACGGUCAGGUCUAACAAGAGGUGGGCCAAGGCACUCAAGCUAGGAACUAAUGGAAAUGUUUCACUCCCACAGUUUGCAGCUGGUAGACAGCAGGGGAAAAAAAAAAAAAAAGAAAGAAAAGGAAAAAGGAAAAUAAUAAAAAUGAUUGAAAGAUUCGAGAUAUUCCUAGUGGAUGCGUCUACAAAAAAAAGGGAGACCUAGUAUCUUCACACAUUUAUGUCCUCCUAUACUGCCUCUACUCCCUCAUCUGUUUGUGAGGAUCAAAACCUAAGAGAGGAAUUAGAAAAACUAACCCAUAUCAGAGAGCCUGAAUAAAACAGACUGAACUAUAUGUGAUAGAAUAAACAGCCCAGCUCUGCCUUUUGUUUUACUGUAAACCAUGUAUGCUGCCACCACCAAAAAUAAGUUACAUUAAUUUCUGCCUUACACCACAAGAUUCUGCAGUAUAAUGUCUUCUCUUUGGUUCUGUCCCCUUACUUCUUUUUCUAGAGGGUUCUUAUUCCCAGUCAAUACUGAAUACAAGAAUUAACUUAAUAGCAGGUUAAUUUGUAAAGUUCUUUGAAACUCAGUGUAAAGCAUUUAAUAAGGCUAUUGGGUUUUUCUCAUUUACCAAAAAAAAAAAAAAAAACCAAAAAAAACCCCAUAUUUCGGAAUUGAGCUUUAUAAUAUUACUCUUUGUGGUGGAUACACCACAACAUUGCUUUUACUGCUAUGACAAGAACAAUUCUUUCUUCUUUCUUCUUUAGUCUCCUUUCAAUUGUUUUUCUGGAAAUUAUACAUCUUGAAGAUACUUAUGAGCUAUUGCAGAAAAAGAGAACAAAACAAAAUAAAGCCUUUCCCAAGAUUGUA